UGGCGGCAUGCCUUACACAUGCAAGUCGAGCGGCAGCGCGGGGGCAACCCUAGCGGCGAGCGGCGAACGGGUGAGUAAUGCAUCGGAACGUGUCCUCUUGUGGGGGAUAACCAGUCGAAAGACUGGCUAAUACCGCAUGAGAUCGAGAGAUGAAAGCAAGGGACCGCAAGGCCUUGCGCGAGAGGAGCGGCCGAUGCCGGAUUAGCUAGUUGGUGGGGUAACGGCCUACCAAGGCGACGAUCCGUAGCUGGUCUGAGAGGACGACCAGCCACACUGGGACUGAGACACGGCCCAGACCCCUACGGGAGGCAGCAGUGGGGAAUUUUGGACAAUGGGGGCAACCCUGAUCCAGCCAUGCCGCGUGUGUGAAGAAGGCCUUCGGGUUGUAAAGCACUUUCGGACGGAACGAAAUCGCGCGGGUUAAUAGUCCGCGAGGAUGACGGUACCGUAAGAAGGAGCACCGGCUAACUACGUGCCAGCAGCCGCGGUAAUACGUAGGGUGCGAGCGUUAAUCGGAAUUACUGGGCGUAAAGUGUGCGCAGGCGGCCGCGCAAGUCGAGUGUGAAAUCCCCGAGCUUAACUUGGGAAUUGCGCUCGAAACUACGUGGCUGGAGUGUGGCAGAGGAAGGUGGAAUUCCACGUGUAGCGGUGAAAUGCGUAGAGAUGUGGAGGAACACCGAUGGCGAAGGCAGCC
RNAcentral lists this ribosomal RNA (694 nucleotides) under uncultured soil bacterium. RNAcentral describes it as "bacterial SSU rRNA". It matches the Rfam family "Bacterial small subunit ribosomal RNA", at positions 37 to 726 of the family's 1533-position model. The record is from RNAcentral.